Molecule: long non-coding RNA, 234 nt
Filed under: Homo sapiens (human)
Lineage: Eukaryota; Metazoa; Chordata; Mammalia; Primates; Hominidae
Description: non-protein coding lnc-SLC35G2-1:10
Source: RNAcentral
UCCUACUUAUAAUUUUCUUGCGUUUUCUUCUAAUCUCUGGCUGAUCUCCUAUUUUCCACAAAGACUGUUUCAAGCUUUCCAUGUUGUUAAAGAUGCCAGUCCCAGUCCAUACUAAUAGAUAAAUUCAUCCAGUUUCCUGGGCUCAGAGCUAUGGGACUCCAAUUCCGGUUUGACCUUGCCUCCAUUAUAAAAUAUCUGUGACCACCUCCUGUUCGUGAUCCCAAAACUUCUAAC